GACGAACGCUGGCGGCGUGCUUAACACAUGCAAGUCGAACGCUGAAGCUCAGCUUUUGUUGGGUGGAUGAGUGGCGAACGGGUGAGUAACACGUGAGUAACCUGCCCCCUUCUUUGGGAUAACGCCCGGAAACGGGUGCUAAUACUGGAUAUUCACUGGUCUUCGCAUGGGGGUUGGUGGAAAGGGUUUUUCUGGUGGGGGAUGGGCUCGCGGCCUAUCAGCUUGUUGGUGGGGUGAUGGCCUACCAAGGCUUUGACGGGUAGCCGGCCUGAGAGGGUGACCGGUCACAUUGGGACUGAGAUACGGCCCAGACUCCUACGGGAGACAGCAGUGGGGAAUAUUGCACAAUGGGCGCAAGCCUGAUGCAGCGACGCCGCGUGAGGGAUGGAGGCCUUCGGGUUGUGAACCUCUUUCGCUCAUGGUCAAGCCGCAACAAUGGUUGUGGUGAGGGGAGUGGGUAAAGAAGCGCCGGCUAACUACGU
Molecule: ribosomal RNA, 482 nt
Filed under: uncultured bacterium
Lineage: Bacteria
Description: partial 16S ribosomal RNA
Rfam family: Bacterial small subunit ribosomal RNA
Source: RNAcentral